Pongo pygmaeus (Bornean orangutan) is the source of this 1329-nucleotide long non-coding RNA. RefSeq lists it as uncharacterized. The record is from RefSeq and is a predicted model, not a curated record. The transcript is spliced from 4 exons. Lineage: Eukaryota; Metazoa; Chordata; Mammalia; Primates; Hominidae.
AGCGGGGUCCGGUGGUCCCGCGAGGACAACAGAAACACAUCCUCUGCGGGGAAGGGGCCUAGCUGGGGUAGGGCGCACAGCCCCGCUGCGGCGGGGGCUCCCGGAAGCUGCGCCGCUGCCCCCCUCCCUAACCCCAUACCCACUCCCGCACUCACGGAGCUGAUCGAAGUGGGUGUCGCCCUCGACGCCGGGCACCGAGCACACCAGCCGCGCCUUCAGGAACGUCGUCCACUUGUUGACCAGGCUGCGCUGGCCGCCCACGUCGUUCUGCCGGGACGAUCAAAGGGGAUGAGGGUGAGACCAGAGUAGGCAAAGGGGUAGGGGCAGGGUCGCCGGGUGUGGCCCAGGGACUCCUCACCCGGCAGAUCUGGCCAACGCGGGACACGGACAGGCGUCCCAGUGCCGGCGCCGCCUCUACCGCCGUCUCACGAAAGAAGAAGUAGAUUUUGUCGUCGUCUGGGUUCUCGCUCUCCGGGAUCCAAAAUACCUUGACAAACUUGGGCUCUGACCACGGUAGGAGGCAUGGGUCAGCGGGUCCUGGCCUCGCCUCCUGAUGCGAGACCCACGCGCUGCUUCCCCUUCCCGUAGCGCGGGCACAGCACCCGGGAUCACAGUGUCUGACCACCCAACCUCUAGGACCACGUCCAGUUGGCGCUCUGCGCGGACCGAAUCCAAAGGAUCAGGGCCUGCGAGGCAAGAAGCAGCCGCGAGGGGGCAGCAGAGACCGUGGCUACCUGGAGGCGCGGGCGGGAAGCCCGGCUAGCCUCCGAUCUCGCCCUACACAGUCGCCCAGCACCUUAGGCUGGGGUAGGAGGGAGAUGAGAGACAGGGUCUGCUCUGUCCUGCAGUGGCAGCAUCAUGGCUCACUGCAGCCUCCAACUCCUGGACUCAAGUGAUCCUUCCAUCUCAGCCUCCUGACUAGCCAGGACUACAGAGGGAGAAGUGCUACCCAGGAGACGCAAGACCUGGGCAGAAGCCUCAGCCUCUGACUUGGGGACUGCUCCCAACCCAGCUGAAGCAGCCUCUGCAUUUGAGCUUGAGGGCUCUCUCUCCACACCCCUGAGGAAUCAAAGAGGGGCAAGGUUGGAGGUGGGAGGAACAACCCCCACCAAACCCAGAGCCGAAAACUGAGGGAGUUUUAAAGACAGGACGGAGCUCCUGCACCUCGGAGCCUCAGUUGGGGAUGACCUGGGGUCUUGUCCUGAAGCUGAGUCUGGUGAACGUGCCCCAUUUGUAGCAUGAGGGGUACUUCUCUGGAGGGACUGUAUGUUGACAGUGGCAGAGUGGAGCCCUCAAGUCCACCUGAGUGAAUAUACCAGGGCUUGAGAA